RNAcentral lists this transfer RNA (986 nucleotides) under Bradyrhizobium sp. RNAcentral describes it as "partial 16S-23S ribosomal RNA intergenic spacer". The stretch from base 223 to 296 matches the Rfam family "tRNA". Lineage: Bacteria; Pseudomonadati; Pseudomonadota; Alphaproteobacteria; Hyphomicrobiales; Nitrobacteraceae. The record is from RNAcentral.
CCGUAGGGGAACCUGCGGCUGGAUCACCUCCUUUCUAAGGAUGGUUCUUCAGAAGCUUGCUUCUAUCGAACCGUUUUAGAAACAUCAGUGGCCAACAGAUCGCCAGAUCGUUGAGCUGCAUUGGCGGGAUUUCGCCGUCUUCGUUUCUCUUUCUUCGCGGACGAACACGCGCUGGGCCUGCGUCGAGCAGGAUCCCACGGUCCCUGACGGGAUAUGCGUUAGGGGCUUGUAGCUCAGUUGGUUAGAGCGCGCGCUUGAUAAGCGUGAGGUCGGAAGUUCAAGUCUUCCCAGGCCCACCAGCCUUCGCGCUUCGCUGCUUCGGCUAGGCAAGCCCUUCGAAAGGAAGGCUGUCACGCCGUAGCCUUGGCGAAGGCGGGCUAAUCAAACGAGCAUUCGUCUUCUGGUUACGGGGCCAUAGCUCAGCUGGGAGAGCGCGUGCUUUGCAAGCAUGAGGUCGUCGGUUCGAUCCCGUCUGGCUCCACCACGCUUCGCCUUUCAGGCUUCGCGUGGCGCAGCCAAGCACGGUCGAAGCGUGCCCGGCGAAGCUCACUUGAGCGUAGACGGGCUGGUUGAGAUCAGCCCGUAACCAUCAACGUCCGCGAAACAUCACUUCGCAUCCUGCUAGUCUGGAUAGACAGCAAGAUGCGUGUUUUCUGACAUCGUAAAGAGGAGAUCGAUCCGAGUUGGAUUGUGCAGCAGAUUGUUGCGCGAAUCCUUCAUUAUCUCCGGAUCAUUUUCGGCGCUCGCUUUCAGCCGUGAGGUUGAAUGCAAGUUGUAAAAUGAUCCUUUUAGCGAAGCUUGACCGCCUCGCUAUCGGAACGAUCUUACGAAGCAAGCUGGUCUUUCUAGUCAAUGUCCGGCUGCACGUAGCAUUCAUCGAGGGUGCGCGCCUUAGGGACUUAGGUUUCUUGGCAAUCGUGCAGACAACAUUCUGCCGAGUGUGUGGACAUUGAUAAUGAGAGCAAUCAAGUGCCUUAAGGGUGUCG